RNAcentral lists this ribosomal RNA (301 nucleotides) under uncultured bacterium. RNAcentral describes it as "partial 16S ribosomal RNA". It matches the Rfam family "Bacterial small subunit ribosomal RNA", at positions 510 to 808 of the family's 1533-position model. The record is from RNAcentral.
CGUAGCCGCGGUAAUACGGAGGGUGCAAGCGUUAAUCGGAAUUACUGGGCGUAAAGCGCACGCAGGCGGUCUGACAAGUCAGAUGUGAAAUCCCCGGGCUUAACCUGGGAACUGCAUUUGAAACUGUCAGGCUGGAGUCUUGUAGAGGGGGGUGGAAUUCCAGGUGUAGCGGUGAAAUGCGUAGAGAUCUGGAGGAAUACCGGUGGCGAAGGCGGCCCCCUGGACAAAGACUGACGCUCAGGUGCGAAAGCGUGGGGAGCAAACAGGAUUAGAUACCCCUGUAGUCCCUGUCUCUUAUACA